UGUUUUGUUGUCAGGCGUCAAACCUAUUUACUCAUUUAUUUGAGUAAAUUCAGUUUACUGAACAUAAUUUUAUGAUGUUGACCAAGUAAUAUUUUGUAGUUAUAACUAAUCAUGAGUCUGAUUUAUGUCAAAUGAAUGUUUCUACAGUUGGACUUGAAGUUAUGUUCUUCUUCUUGUCAUCAAACUCGAAGAACCCAAUGACUUCUCUAGAAUCGUGGAUUGAUCCUUAAAAAAUGACCACAAAAGGUGGCUUAAUAGGAAAACAGGCGACAACUAGAGCAAAUGCGUUCACUGUAGAAAAGAUACUGGAUUCUCGUGAUGCUAAUGGGACCACCGAGUACCUACUCAAGUGGAGAGGCUACUCUGAUGACAAUAACUCGUGGGAGACCGAGGAGACAGUUGGGAAACAAUUGAUACAGGAAUUUUGGAAGAGGAAAAUCUCCUUUCAAUCAACAGUGAAGAAAGGUCCUUCAAAUAGUAACAAGUCCAACUGUUCGCUAUUGAAAUACCUAAAGGAAAGAGACAACACGCUUGAAUACCAACCUAAAAAGAAAAUAGUAGAGGGAUCAGGAUUUGACCCUGGUGGAUUAGAGCUGGAUGAUUCAAUCAAGGCUCAGAUUCUCGCCUUGUCAGAAGCCGUGUCUUCAGAUAGAAAUAUUCCGAGUGAUGAGGAUUAUGUGAGUCUACUUGAGUCCAUUGAAGAUGACCUUUCAUCAGGUGAACUUACUAUGAGUGACCUCCCUGGUGCCAUCAAGUCCACGGCAAGGAAAAGCACCGCACCAAUACCUCACAAAUCUACUGUUUUGGACUCGAGGAUUGCAGCAAAUGAAAUACUUACAAUCGAAAAAUCACUUAUUGAAAGUGCCGCACAGUUAGAAAAACAGAGCAAUGCUGCAACCGAAAACACAUCUGAUCCGUACAACUUUGAAGAAUAUGAAAAAACCAAUUCCGAUUCAAAUAUUGCUAAAGAACAACCUUAUUCCAGUAAAGAAAAGAAGUCAAAUGUGUCCAAAAAUAAUUCGAGUUCAACACCAAUUUGCAAAAUUCUCUCAGUUUCAUCCAUUGGUAAAGAGAGAAGAAUUGUUAAAGAAAAUCCUAAUAAAGAGAAAAGAGCAAUUAAGAAAAAUCCUCUUAGAAUUCCAAAAUCAAAAUAUGCGGAAAUUACCAUGCCCUUUAGAGAGAAACUAUACUCUUCAAGACCUGACUUUCCUCCCUUGCCUUUGGAAGAAGGUGGAUCGGUUAUAUUUGAAGAUAUUGGAGUUAAAGUUGAACAUCCAAAAUACAGCCCCCCCAAAAAUAGCCAACCCUCUUCUUCAAAUCGCAGUAUAACUCAAACUUCUCUUCCUCCCAAAGAAAUAGAAAUCAACGAUGAUGACCCACUCCUUAUAGAUAUAGAUGAACUUUUGUUAGAUAAAAAUACCAACGAGGAAAAUUGUGAUAUCGACAUUGAUGUAGGAGACUCCACUGAUGAAAGACUGGACCUCGUAUGCAAUCAAAUCCAAGUUGGCGGGAAAACGAAUAAUUUUACUCAAUCAUUAUUGAAAAAGUCAAAUAUUAUGCCUGAAAAAAGGCCAAUCGAAAUCAUUGAUGAAGGAAGUAAUAAGAAAAUUAGAAUGGCAUUUAAAAAGAAUGAUCAGGGUGUAAUGGGUGUCAAAACCAUUUCUGACAAGCCUCGUAAUAAUUUGAAUCAUUUAAGUCCAAAUAAAAUAUCUUUGUGUCCACAAUCAAAGAAAAUAAAUCCUACUGCCACAAACAAUUUUCUGAUACCUGCUCCCCCCGGCCCUAGUUUAUUGAAACGACCAGCGAUGAAGAACAACUCCCUUCUUAAAAACAAUAAUGCAAAUAGUGCAUUAUCUUUGCUAAAAACUUCCAAACCCUCAACCAGUAAAAUAUUGAGUGAACCUGAAAAAAGUAGACAGUUAGUCCAAGAAAGUAGGAAGAAAGAAAUUUUGACUAGGUUGUCAAAAAAUAAGAACCUAAACCCAUUCAAUUUGUUAGACCACAUGAGUGAAUACGAAAUUAACAUUCUAGGUGGUGAAGUUAUUAAGGACGACAACCGACCUCAAGGCUUCGAAAGGAAUUUAGAACCAGAAAGAGUGAUUGGAGCAACAAAAUCUACGGGAGAACUGAUGUUGCAUAUGAAAUGGAAAGGCAGUAAAGACACAGACUUUGUAACGGCAAGGGAGGCACAUUUACGAUGUCCUGAAUUGGUGAUUCAAUACUAUCAAGGGACGUACACCUUACAACCUGAAGUAGAGGAGCCAUCGUGAUAGUAGCUGCGGCAGAACACUUGUUGUGCCUGCGUUAGUGUUAGUGAUGUAUGAUCUAGCUUUAAAGAGUACGGUGACGUCAACGUGUGUAGAUAUACCAAAGUGCAGCUGAUCUUAUAUUUCCUUAAGGAAUAUCUGUGCGGUUGAGUAUCCAUCGUUUGCGAUUCGUUUUGUAACAUUGAUAGCCUACCUCAGGAAUGUCUCCCAGGUAAUUUAAUAACACAUACUAUGCUGAUCAAGAAGUUAUUUAACAUAUUUGAAAAAAUAUAUGUUUGUCAAUUGGCGUUUACUGGACACGUUAAUUUUCGCUACCUAUGGUUGUAUGUAUAAAAUGGCUUUAUAAUUGAAACUUAGACCUCAGAUAAUGUCAUGCAGAGUACUUGGUUUACCAAGACCAGUUAAUUGGACCAUAGACAAAAAAAAUUAAAUAUAGACCGUCAGCUAGACUGCGGUUACCAUAGGUACUGGCGCACACCGCUGGGAUUGCCUCGGUAGUUACAGCGUACGCGCUACGUAAACUACAGCGGUGUGCGCCCGAACUUAUGGUAACCGCAGCACGGCUGACAGUCUAUAUUUAAUUCUUUUUGUCUAUGAUUGGACUAACAGGGAAUUUCAUGUUGUAUGAAACUGUGCUGUGAUCAUUUGAGGACACGUGUAAUAUCUUACCAGUUUGCAUAGUUUUUAUUUCAAUUGGAGUUCCCGCAACAAGGAAAUGGAGUCAUUUGAUUGGCUGAUUCAACAGUGGCAGAUGCAGAUAUUCGAUAAGUUUAACUAUAUCAAUUAUAAAAUUAAACUGUUAUAGCCUAACCUAACUUACCAAACUUGCUGAUGAUGAAAAAAUCGAAUGUAGGUUUACUUACAUUAGCAUUAGGGUAGCCCAGUUAAGAAACUGUACCCAAAGUCAUGAUGUCACUGUUGGAUCAGCCAAUAUUAAGUCUUCAUUCGCCCUAUUUGCCGGACCCCGGAACUCCAAUUGAAAUUAAAAUCACGCUACCAGCUUAGGUUAUAAUAUCACUGUGGAACUCAAUAUAAAAUUUAGCUCAAAUUCAUCUGGAGUAUUGUUUGAUAAAAAUUUAAUGUAUUCCCUGAGGGAAAUUCACUAAAAGAAACACAUUUGUAUCUAAGAAAGUACCUGACAAUACCUUUGUGUAUAUUUUGUGGUUUUUAGGAUACUGUCGUUUAAUUAUUUAUUUUUUAGUUUUUUUUAAUGCUUGAUGUAAAUAUGUAUAAAAACAUGUGUCAAAAUACAUUGUGGGUGUUUUUACUGUAAUUUACCUUGCAAAGUAACACAAAAUAAAACAAAUGA
Molecule: RNA transcript, 3576 nt
Organism: Macrosteles quadrilineatus (aster leafhopper)
Lineage: Eukaryota; Metazoa; Arthropoda; Insecta; Hemiptera; Cicadellidae
Exons: 8
Source: RefSeq, a predicted model, not a curated record